Molecule: ribosomal RNA, 497 nt
Filed under: uncultured bacterium
Lineage: Bacteria
Description: partial 16S ribosomal RNA
Rfam family: Bacterial small subunit ribosomal RNA
Source: RNAcentral
GAUGAACGCUGGCGGCGUGCCUAAUACAUGCAAGUCGAGCGAACAGACGAGGAGCUUGCUCCUCUGACGUUAGCGGCGGACGGGUGAGUAACACGUGGAUAACCUACCUAUAAGACUGGGAUAACUUCGGGAAACCGGAGCUAAUACCGGAUAACAUGUUGAACCGCAUGGUUCAACAGUGAAAGACGGUUUUGCUGUCACUUAUAGAUGGAUCCGCGUCGCAUUAGCUAGUUGGUAAGGUAACGGCUUACCAAGGCAACGAUGCGUAGCCGACCUGAGAGAGUGAUCGGCCACACUGGAACUGAGACACGGUCCAGACUCCUACGGGAGGCAGCAGUAGGGAAUCUUCCGCAAUGGGCGAAAGCCUGACGGAGCAACGCCGCGUGAGUGAAGAAGGUCUUCGGAUCGUAAAACUCUGUUAUUAGGGAAGAACAAAUGUGUAAGUAACUAUGCACGUCUUGACGGUACCUAAUCAGAAAGCCACGGCUAACUACGUG